AAACUCAAAUGAAUUGACGGGACCCGCACAAGCGGUGGAUGAUGUGGUUUAAUUCGAUGCAACGCGAAAACCUUACCCACCUUUGACAUGGCAGGAAUCCUGAAGAGAUUUGGAGUGCUCGAAAGAGAACCUGCACACAGGUGCUGCAUGGCUGUCGUCAGCUCGUGUCGUGAGAUGUUGGGUUAAGUCCCGCAACGAGCGCAACCCUUGCCAUUAGUUGCUACGAAAGGGCACUCUAAUGGGACUGCCGGUGACAAACCGGAGGAAGGUGGGGAUGACGUCAAGUCCUCAUGGCCCUUAUAGGUGGGGCUACACACGUCAUACAAUGGCCGGUACAGAGGGUAGCCAACCCGCGAGGGGGAGCCAAUCCCACAAAGCCGGUCGUAGUCCGGAUCGCAGUCUGCAACUCGACUGCGUGAAGUCGGAAUCGCUAGUAAUCGCGGAUCAGCAUGUCGCGGUGAAUACGUUCCCGGGUCUU
This 478-nucleotide ribosomal RNA is filed under the name uncultured Allobrachymonas sp. Its description in RNAcentral is "bacterial SSU rRNA". It matches the Rfam family "Bacterial small subunit ribosomal RNA", at positions 897 to 1382 of the family's 1533-position model. Lineage: Bacteria; Pseudomonadati; Pseudomonadota; Betaproteobacteria; Burkholderiales; Comamonadaceae. The record is from RNAcentral.